UAGGGAAUCUUCGGCAAUGGACGAAAGUCUGACCGAGCAACGCCGCGUGAGUGAAGAAGGUUUUCGGAUCGUAAAAAUCUGUUGUUAGAGAAGAACAAGGACGUUAGUAACUGAACGUCCCCUGACGGUAUCUAACCAGAAAGCCACGGCUAACUACGUGCCAGCAGCCGCGGUAAUACGUAGGUGGCACGCGUUGUCCGGAUUUAUUGGGCGUAAAGCGAGUGCAGGCGGUUUCUUAAGUCUGAUGUGAAGUCCCCCGGCUCAACCGGAGAGGCUCAUUGGAAACUGUGAGACUUGAGUGCAGAAGAGGAGUGUGGUAUUCCAUGUGUCGCAGUGAAAUGCGUAUAUAUAUGGAGGAACACCUGUGGCGAAGUCGGCUCUCUGCUCUGUAACUGACGCUGAGGCUCGAAAGCGUGGGGAGCAAACAGG
RNAcentral lists this ribosomal RNA (429 nucleotides) under Gemmatimonadota bacterium. RNAcentral's name for it is "Gemmatimonadetes bacterium partial 16S ribosomal RNA". It matches the Rfam family "Bacterial small subunit ribosomal RNA", at positions 355 to 776 of the family's 1533-position model. The record is from RNAcentral. Lineage: Bacteria; Pseudomonadati; Gemmatimonadota.